AGUAAUACAUAAGUAACCUGCCCUAGACAGGGGGAUAACUAUUGGAAACGAUAGCUAAGACCGCAUAGGUACGGACACUGCAUGGUGACCGUAUUAAAAGUGCCUCAAAGCACUGGUAGAGGAUGGACUUAUGGCGCAUUAGCUGGUUGGCGGGGUAACGGCCCACCAAGGCGACGAUGCGUAGCCGACCUGAGAGGGUGACCGGCCACACUGGGACUGAGACACGGUCCAG
Molecule: ribosomal RNA, 232 nt
Filed under: uncultured bacterium
Lineage: Bacteria
Description: partial 16S ribosomal RNA
Rfam family: Bacterial small subunit ribosomal RNA
Source: RNAcentral